UGUCGGUACUUAUAUCCCCAUUAAUCUAACGUUUGGAAAGACAAUCUAGCAUUUAGUUGUGUUUCUUCUUGAUAUAUUGCUAUACAGAAGCGACUACAUGCGUGGUGGAGGCGCUAAGUAAAUGUGGAUAGGUGAAGUUUAAAGACUGUAGAGAACGGUUGAGAGGAGAGGCGUGCAGUAAGGAACGAACAGUGCUCCUGGGACGCGAGCUUCUUGCCUCAUUUUGUAUUGCUGCAAGUGUUAGUGACCGACAAGGAUAUUUUUACACCGUCUGUCUAAAACGCCCACAAGGCAGGGCGAAGCAAGGCACGGAGGGAGGGAGGUGACGCCGAGAGAAGUCUGUAAUUAUCAAGAACUUCCAAGUCCAGACUCCACACACUGACCGCGGGAAACAACAUGGUGUGGGAGGCUCCUCACAACGGGAACAAAAAGAUGGGAUUUAGCCGUGAAGUUGUGCAAGUGGUGAUCAUUGCUGCUGCUGUGGUGAGCUGUGUGUCAGCCUCAAAGCCUCCCAAGUCAAAGGUUUUGAAGUGUGCUGUGUGCCGCAGCGUGGUGAGUGAGCUGCACGACGCCAUCCUGGAGGUUGAUCCCAGGAAAACCAUUGAUGUGGGCUCCUAUCGCAUUGAGGCUGAUGGAAAACAGAAGGUUUCAGCUGUGAAGUAUGCUGGCUCGGAGAUGCACAUGAUGGAAGUGAUGGAGACAGUGUGCAAGAGCAUGAAGGACUAUGCUCAGGCCAGACACAAGGAGACAGGACGCCUGGAGGCCAUCAAACUGGUGGUUGGUGGCAGCAUGAACCCACGCAUGGGGGAAUAUGAAAUGGUGCAGGACCCAGACCUCAACAAAGGCCUGGAGUUCCACUGUGAGGCAAUUCUUGAGGAGUUUGAGGAUGAAAUUGGGUCAUUCUUCAAGAGCAAUGGUGACAGCAAACUGUUUGACCUGCAGGAACAGUUUUGCAAUGAGGUGACAAGUUUGUGCUCAGGUGUCAAGGAUGAGUUAUAGUGCAAGAAAACAUGCAGCUGGAGACGCAGUCAUACCUGGAGGUGGUGGAAAAACUGGCUUCUGAAGCAAAGCACAAGAGAAUGCACUGCUGAAAGGGAAGAGACUGAAGCUGAAGGAAAGGAGGAGGUGCACACUCCAUGCUGUGUGUGACUGCAUCUGUAUGACCAUGUACACAAGUAUAAACUGACACAAGCAAUACUUUCACUUGCAAUAUGCAUACAAGAAAACAACAACCAGCAGCACCACAAAGAGGUCAGCUGGUGGUGAUGCAAAUGAGACCCUGCAAGACCAUACAAGUCCAUGUUAUUUCACCCACAAAAAAGCCUGGGAUAAACUCAAGUUUUUCCAUCUGCUGCCUGCACCUCUGAGCCACCUAAGUCAUCACCACACUCCUGCCAUGCUGCACCACAGCAUCACACCUGUCAUGUGUUGCUCACAGCACACAAAGCCACAUCUUAAUGAUAAAACUCAAACAUA
This is an RNA transcript of Scylla paramamosain (green mud crab), 1476 nucleotides long. It is a transcript of the gene named protein seele-like, with no coding region annotated. NCBI's taxonomy places the organism in Eukaryota, Metazoa, Arthropoda, Malacostraca, Decapoda, Portunidae. The record is from RefSeq and is a predicted model, not a curated record. The transcript has 7 exons.